GGGCUCAUAGCUCAGCUGGGAGAGCGUUCGGUUCGCAUCCGAGAGGUCGAGGGUUCGAGUCCCUUUGGGUCCA
RNAcentral lists this transfer RNA (73 nucleotides) under Candidatus Scatomonas merdigallinarum. Its description in RNAcentral is "tRNA-Ala". It matches the Rfam family "tRNA". From Rfam's summary of the family: Transfer RNA (tRNA) molecules are approximately 80 nucleotides in length. The record is from RNAcentral. RNAcentral also lists the same sequence under 1 other name. Lineage: Bacteria; Bacillati; Bacillota; Clostridia; Lachnospirales; Lachnospiraceae.